AACGAACGCUGGCGGCAUGCCUAACACAUGCAAGUCGAACGAAGGCUUCGGCCUUAGUGGCGCACGGGUGCGUAACGCGUGGGAACCUGCCCCUCGGUUCGGAAUAACAGUUAGAAAUGACUGCUAAUACCGGAUGAUGACUUCGGUCCAAAGAUUUAUCGCCGAGGGAUGGGCCCGCGUAGGAUUAGCUAGUUGGUGGGGUAAAGGCCUACCAAGGCGACGAUCCUUAGCUGGUCUGAGAGGAUGAUCAGCCACACUGGGACUGAGACACGGCCCAGACUCCUACGGGAGGCAGCAGUGGGGAAUACUGGACAAUGGGCGAAAGCCUGAUCCAGCAAUGCCGCGUGAGUGAUGAAGGCCUUAGGGUUGUAAAGCUCUUUUACCAGGGAUGAUAAUGACAGUACCUGGAGAAUAAGCUCCGGCUAACUCCGUG
This 433-nucleotide ribosomal RNA is filed under the name uncultured bacterium. RNAcentral's name for it is "bacterial SSU rRNA". It matches the Rfam family "Bacterial small subunit ribosomal RNA", at positions 29 to 507 of the family's 1533-position model. The record is from RNAcentral.